Molecule: ribosomal RNA, 439 nt
Filed under: uncultured bacterium
Lineage: Bacteria
Description: partial 16S ribosomal RNA
Rfam family: Bacterial small subunit ribosomal RNA
Source: RNAcentral
CCUACGGGAGGCAGCAGUGAGGAAUAUUGCACAAUGGAGGAAACCCUGAUGCAGCGACGCCGCGUGAGUGAAGAAGUAAUUCGUUGUGUAAAGCUCUAUCAGCAGGGAAGAAAAUGACGGUACCUGAGUAAGAAGCCACGGCUAACUACUUGCCAGCAGCGGCGGGAAUACGUAGGGGGCAAGCGUUAUCCGGAUUUACUGGGUGUAAAGGGGGCGUAGACGGCAGUGCAAGUCUGGAGUGAAAGGCGGGGGUUAAAUCCCGGACUGCUCUGGAAACUGUACGGCUGGAGUGCAGGAGAGGUAAGUGGAAUUCCUAGUGUAGCGGUGAAAUGCGUAGAUAUUAGGAGGAACACCAGUGGCGAAGGCGGCUUACUGGACUGUAACUGACGUUGAGGCUCGAAAGCGUGGGGAGCAAACAGGAUUAGAUACCCGAGUAGUC